GAUGAACGCUGGCGGCGUGCCUAAUACAUGCAAGUCGAGCGAACGGACGAGAAGCUUGCUUCUCUGAUGUUAGCGGCGGACGGGUGAGUAACACGUGGAUAACCUACCUAUAAGACUGGGAUAACUUCGGGAAACCGUAGCUAAUACCGGAUAAUAUUUUGAACCGCAUGGUUCAAAAGUGAAAGACGGUCUUGCUGUCACUUAUAGAUGGAUCCGCGCUGCAUUAGCUAGUUGGUAAGGUAACGGCUUACCAAGGCAACGAUGCAUAGCCGACCUGAGAGGGUGAUCGGCCACACUGGACCUGAGCCACGGUCCAGACUCCUACGGGAGGCAGCAGUAGGGAAUCUUCCGCAAUGGGCGAAAGCCUGACGAAGCAACGCCGCGUGAUUGAUGAAGGUCUUCGGAUCGUAAAACUCUGUUAUUAGGGAAGAACAUAUGUGUAAGUAACUGUGCACAUCUUGACGGUACCUAAUCAGAAAGCCACGGCUAACUACGUG
Molecule: ribosomal RNA, 497 nt
Filed under: uncultured bacterium
Lineage: Bacteria
Description: partial 16S ribosomal RNA
Rfam family: Bacterial small subunit ribosomal RNA
Source: RNAcentral